AGCUGAUCCAGCCAUGCCGCGUGUGUGAAGAAGGUCUUCGGAUUGUAAAGCACUUUAAGUUGGGAGGAAGGGCAGUAAAUUAAUACUUUGCUGUUUUGACGUUACCGACAGAAUAAGCACCGGCUAACUCUGUGCCAGCAGCCGCGGUAAUA
RNAcentral lists this ribosomal RNA (152 nucleotides) under uncultured bacterium. RNAcentral's name for it is "partial 16S ribosomal RNA". It matches the Rfam family "Bacterial small subunit ribosomal RNA", at positions 381 to 525 of the family's 1533-position model. The record is from RNAcentral.